This 445-nucleotide ribosomal RNA is filed under the name uncultured bacterium. Its description in RNAcentral is "partial 16S ribosomal RNA". It matches the Rfam family "Bacterial small subunit ribosomal RNA", at positions 354 to 796 of the family's 1533-position model. The record is from RNAcentral.
GUAAGGAAUAUUGGUCAAUGGAGGCAACUCUGAACCAGCCAUGCCGCGUGCAGGAAGACGGCCCUCUGGGUUGUAAACUGCUUUUAUCCGGGAAUAAACCUGCCUUCGUGAAGGUAGCUGAAUGUACCGGAAGAAUAAGGAUCGGCUAACUCCGUGCCAGCAGCCGCGGUAAUACGGAGGAUCCAAGCGUUAACCGGAUUUAUUGGGUUUAAAGGGUGCGUAGGCGGCCUGUUAAGUCAGGGGUGAAAGACGGUGGCUCAACCAUCGCAGUGCCCUUGAUACUGAUGGGCUUGAAUGGACUAGAGGUAGGCGGAAUGUGACAAGUAGCGGUGAAAUGCAUAGAUAUGUCACAGAACACCGAUUGCGAAGGCAGCUUACUAUGGUCCUAUUGACGCUGAGGCACGAAAGCGUGGGGAUCGAACAGGAUUAGAUACCCUAGUAGUCC